AGAGUUUGAUCCUGGCUCAGGACGAACGCUGGCGGCGUGCUUAACACAUGCAAGUCGAACGGAAAGGCCCCUUCGGGGGUGCUCGAGUGGCGAACGGGUGAGUAACACGUGGGUGAUCUGCCCUGCACUUCGGGAUAAGCCUGGGAAACUGGGUCUAAUACCGGAUAGGACUACGCACUGCAUGGUGUGUGGUGGAAAGCUUUUGCGGUGUGGGAUGGGCCCGCGGCCUAUCAGCUUGUUGGUGGGGUGAUGGCCUACCAAGGCGUCGACGGGUAGCCGGCCUGAGAGGGUGUCCGGCCACACUGGGACUGAGAUACGGCCCAGACUCCUACGGGAGGCAGCAGUGGGGAAUAUUGCACAAUGGGCGCAAGCCUGAUGCAGCGACGCCGCGUGGGGGAUGACGGCCUUCGGGUUGUAAACCUCUUUCAGCACAGACGAAGCGCAAGUGACGGUAUGUGCAGAAGAAGCACCGGCCAACUACGUGCCAGCAGCCGCGGUA
Molecule: ribosomal RNA, 499 nt
Filed under: uncultured Actinomycetes bacterium
Lineage: Bacteria; Bacillati; Actinomycetota; Actinomycetes
Description: bacterial SSU rRNA
Rfam family: Bacterial small subunit ribosomal RNA
Source: RNAcentral